GCUGCCAAAGCAGUCCUCAAUUCUGCAUGCUAAGUUUGCUUGUUUUUCUGCUCUCUUGAAGUUCGCUAUGACAUUUGGAGGUUUUUCUUCUAGGCUAGUGUGUGGAAAAAAACUGCUGAAGAAUUAUGGAAUAUCCUAAACUUGGGUGAGUGAGGGGAUAUUCCCAGUUUGCCAGGAAGAUUGAUUUUGUCAAUCAUCCCCCGCCCUCAACUUCCACAACAACUUCUUCCACAUUAAGCCAGGAUACACUACUCGGAACACGAAACUGCAUUCCCCGGAACCUUGCGAUCCCAAGAAAAAGAAUAAUGUUCCUUCUCCAAUCCCAAACUCGCACGUGCCGCCCUCCA
Molecule: non-coding RNA, 347 nt
Organism: Podarcis muralis (Common wall lizard)
Lineage: Eukaryota; Metazoa; Chordata; Lepidosauria; Squamata; Lacertidae
Source: RefSeq, a predicted model, not a curated record